UACGUAGGCAGCGAGCGUUGUUCGGAGUUACUGGGCGUAAAGCGUGCGUAGGCGGUGGCCCAAGUCUGGUGUGAAAUCUCCCGGCUUAACCGGGAGGGUGCGCCUGAAACUGGGUCGCUCGAGUGCCGGAGAGGCAGGCGGAAUUCCUGGUGUAGCGGUGAAAUGCGUAGAUAUCAGGAGGAACACCCGUGGUGUAGACGGCCUGCUGGACGGAGACUGACGCUGAGGCACGAAAGCGUGGGGAGCAAACAGG
RNAcentral lists this ribosomal RNA (253 nucleotides) under uncultured bacterium. Its description in RNAcentral is "partial 16S ribosomal RNA". It matches the Rfam family "Bacterial small subunit ribosomal RNA", at positions 524 to 776 of the family's 1533-position model. The record is from RNAcentral.